AAUGGAAUCAAAUACGCAGUAUUUACAGAAAAAAGUCUUCGUUUAUUGGGAAAGAAUCAAUAUACUUUUAAUGUCGAAUCGGGAUUCACUAAGACAGAAAUAAAGCAUUGGGUCGAACUCUUCUUUGGUGUUAAGGUGGUAGCUGUGAAUAGCCAUCGACUACCUGGAAAAGGUAAAAGAAUAGGACCUAUUCUGGGCCAUACAAUGCAUUACAGACGUAUGAUCAUUACCCUUCAACCGGGUUAUUCUAUUCCAAUAAACGAAGACUUUUUUCUGUAA
RNAcentral lists this ribosomal RNA (279 nucleotides) under Triticum aestivum (bread wheat). RNAcentral's name for it is "partial small subunit ribosomal RNA". Lineage: Eukaryota; Viridiplantae; Streptophyta; Magnoliopsida; Poales; Poaceae. The record is from RNAcentral.